GAUGAACGCUGGCGGCGUGCCUAAUACAUGCAAGUCGAGCGAACAGACGAGGAGCUUGCUCCUCUGACGUUAGCGGCGGACGGGUGAGUAACACGUGGAUAACCUACCUAUAAGACUGGGAUAACUUCGGGAAACCGGAGCUAAUACCGGAUAACAUGUUGAACCGCAUGGUUCAACAGUGAAAGACGGUCUUGCUGUCACUUAUAGAUGGAUCCGCGCCGCAUUAGCUAGUUGGUAAGGUAACGGCCUACCAAGGCAACGAUGCGUAGCCGACCUGAGAGGGUGAUCGGCCACACUGGAACUGAGACACGGUCCAGACUCCUACGGGAGGCAGCAGUAGGGAAUCUUCCGCAAUGGGCGAAAGCCUGACGGAGCAACGCCGCGUGAGUGAAGAAGGUCUUCGGAUCGUAAAACUCUGUUAUUAGGGAAGAACAAAUGUGUAAGUAACUAUGCACGUCUUGACGGUACCUAAUCAGAAAGCCACGGCUAACUACGUG
RNAcentral lists this ribosomal RNA (497 nucleotides) under uncultured bacterium. RNAcentral describes it as "partial 16S ribosomal RNA". It matches the Rfam family "Bacterial small subunit ribosomal RNA", at positions 28 to 507 of the family's 1533-position model. The record is from RNAcentral.